RNAcentral lists this ribosomal RNA (420 nucleotides) under uncultured bacterium. Its description in RNAcentral is "bacterial SSU rRNA". It matches the Rfam family "Bacterial small subunit ribosomal RNA", at positions 954 to 1375 of the family's 1533-position model. The record is from RNAcentral.
GCAAAACGCGAAGAACCUUACCAAGGCUUGACAUGCAUCUCUAAGCGCGUGAAAGCGCGUGACCCUUCGGGGGAUUUGCACAGGUGCUGCAUGGCCGUCGUCAGCUCGUGUCGUGAGAUGUUGGGUUAAGUCCCGCAACGAGCGCAACCCUUGUGACUAGUUGCCAGCACGUUAUGGUGGGAACUCUAGUCAGACUGCCCAGAUCAACUGGGAGGAAGGUGGGGACGACGUCAGGUCAGUAUGGCCCUUACGCCUUGGGCUGCACACGUACUACAAUGCCCAGUACAAUGAGAACCGAGACCGCGAGGUGGAGGAAAUCUAAAAAACUGGGCCCAGUUCGGAUUGGAGUCUGCAACUCGACUCCAUGAAGUCGGAAUCGCUAGUAAUCGCGGAUCAGAAUGCCGCGGUGAAUACGUUCCC